UCCCUGGUGGCUCAGAGGUUAAAGCGUCUGCCUGCAAUGCGGGAGACCCGGGUUUGAUUCCUGGGUCGGGAG
RNAcentral lists this transfer RNA (72 nucleotides) under Ovis aries (sheep). It matches the Rfam family "tRNA". From Rfam's summary of the family: Transfer RNA (tRNA) molecules are approximately 80 nucleotides in length. Their secondary structure includes four short double-helical elements and three loops (D, anti-codon, and T loops). The record is from Rfam by way of RNAcentral. Lineage: Eukaryota; Metazoa; Chordata; Mammalia; Artiodactyla; Bovidae.